RNAcentral lists this ribosomal RNA (254 nucleotides) under uncultured bacterium. RNAcentral's name for it is "partial 16S ribosomal RNA". It matches the Rfam family "Bacterial small subunit ribosomal RNA", at positions 524 to 776 of the family's 1533-position model. The record is from RNAcentral.
UACGUAGGGUGCGAGCGUUUAAUCGGAAUUACUGGGCGUAAAGUGUGCGCAGGCGGCCAUGCAAGUCGAGUGUGAAAGCCCCGGGCUUAACUUGGGAAUUGCGCUCGAAACUACGUGGCUGGAGUGUGGCAGAGGAAGGUGGAAUUCCACGUGUAGCGGUGAAAUGCGUAGAGAUGUGGAGGAACACCAAUGGCGAAGGCAGCCUUCUGGGCCAACACUGACGCUCAUGCACGAAAGCGUGGGGAGCAAACAGG